GAUGAACGCUGGCGGCGUGCCUAAUACAUGCAAGUCGAGCGAACGGACGAGAAGCUUGCUUCUCUGAUGUUAGCGGCGGACGGGUGAGUAACACGUGGAUAACCUACCUAUAAGACUGGGAUAACUUCGGGAAACCGGAGCUAAUACCGGAUGAUAUUUUGAACCGCAUGGUUCAAAAGUGAAAGACGGUCUUGCUGUCACUUAUAGAUGGAUCCGCGCUGCAUCAGCUAGUUGGUAAGGUAACGGCUUACCAAGGCAACGAUGCAUAGCCGACCUGAGAGGGUGAUCGGCCACACUGGAACUGAGACACGGUCCAGACUCCUACGGGAGGCAGCAGUAGGGAAUCUUCCGCAAUGGGCGAAAGCCUGACGGAGCAACGCCGCGUGAGUGAUGAAGGUCUUCGGAUCGUAAAACUCUGUUAUUAGGGAAGAACAUAUGUGUAAGUAACUGUGCACAUCUUGACGGUACCUAAUCAGAAAGCCACGGCUAACUACGU
RNAcentral lists this ribosomal RNA (496 nucleotides) under uncultured bacterium. RNAcentral describes it as "partial 16S ribosomal RNA". It matches the Rfam family "Bacterial small subunit ribosomal RNA", at positions 28 to 506 of the family's 1533-position model. The record is from RNAcentral.